RNAcentral lists this ribosomal RNA (1250 nucleotides) under metagenome. Its description in RNAcentral is "bacterial LSU rRNA". It matches the Rfam family "Bacterial large subunit ribosomal RNA", at positions 1636 to 2878 of the family's 2925-position model. The record is from RNAcentral.
AUACGACCGUACCGCAAACCGACACUGGUGCGCGAGAUGAGUAUUCUAAGGCGCUUGAGAGAACUCAGGAGAAGGAACUCGGCAAAUUGACACCGUAACUUCGGAAGAAGGUGUGCCCUAUUAGUGUGUAGUGAACAACGAAGCAUGAAUGGGUUGCAAAAAAUCGGUGGCUGCGACUGUUUAUUAAAAACACAGCACUCUGCAAACACGAAAGUGGACGUAUAGGGUGUGACGCCUGCCCGGUGCUGGAAGAUUAAAUGAUGGGGUGCAAGCUCUUGAUUGAAGUCCCAGUAAACGGCGGCCGUAACUAUAACGGUCCUAAGGUAGCGAAAUUCCUUGUCGGGUAAGUUCCGACCUGCACGAAUGGCGUAACGAUGGCCACACUGUCUCCUCCUGAGACUCAGCGAAGUUGAAAUGUUUGUGAUGAUGCAAUCUCCCCGCGGAAAGACGGAAAGACCCCAUGAACCUUUACUGUAGCUUUGUAUUGGACUUUGAACAGAUCUGUGUAGGAUAGGUGGGAGGCUUUGAAGCAGGGUCGCUAGAUCUUGUGGAGCCAACGUUGAAAUACCACCCUGGUGUGUUUGAGGUUCUAACCUAGGUCCAUUAUCUGGAUCGGGGACAGUGCAUGGUAGGCAGUUUGACUGGGGCGGUCUCCUCCCAAAGCGUAACGGAGGAGUUCGAAGGUACGCUAGUUACGGUCGGACAUCGUGACGAUAGUGCAAUGGCAUAAGCGUGCUUAACUGCGAGACUGACAAGUCGAGCAGAUGCGAAAGCAGGACAUAGUGAUCCGGUGGUUCUGUAUGGAAGGGCCAUCGCUCAACGGAUAAAAGGUACUCUGGGGAUAACAGGCUGAUACCGCCCAAGAGUUCAUAUCGACGGCGGUGUUUGGCACCUCGAUGUCGGCUCAUCUCAUCCUGGGGCUGUAGCCGGUCCCAAGGGUAUGGCUGUUCGCCAUUUAAAGAGGUACGUGAGCUGGGUUUAAAACGUCGUGAGACAGUUUGGUCCCUAUCUUCCGUGGGCGCUGCAGAUUUGAGGAAGCCUGCUCCUAGUACGAGAGGACCGGAGUGGACACACCUCUGGUGUAUCGGUUGUCACGCCAGUGGCAUUGCCGAGUAGCUAAGUGUGGAAGAGAUAACCGCUGAAAGCAUCUAAGCGGGAAACUCGUUUCAAGAUGAGAUCUGCCGGGGCCUUGAGCCCCCUAAAGAGUCGUUCAAGACCAGGACGUUGAUAGGUCAGGUGUGGAAGUGAAA